UGCAAGUUGACCACUCUAUAUUUUAGGCGGUAAGAAGUCCAAUCGGUGAUUAAUGAACUAUAUUAAAGGUGUCAAGAUCACAUUACAUUCACUAAAAAUGGCAGUUAGAAGGAUUCUGCCUACAUACUGUACCGAGGUCAGCAUGCAGGCUAUAUAAUGAGCUGAAAACAGAGAGCGAGUAUAAGCAACUCAUAAGCAGCCAAGGACCCAAUUUGUAUCAGCAGCAAGAAUGAAGAUAUUCGCUUUCCUCCUGGUGUCAGUGGCUUUAUGCUCACAACAGUUGGUGAAUGGAUCACUUGCGAUAGAUGUGCUGAAGGCAAUUCAGAUGAGCCAAAACAACAAAGAAGCCCUAACACAGGCAUUGGUAUUGCAAGCUUUAAAAGAUUCGUCCAAUGCAGUGAAAGAAUCAAGAAUUACCUAUGAAGACAGAGGUAGAGCCCGCAUUAGUCAAGCAGCGUCUUUCCUAACUAUCCAAGACUGUGAUACUGCUGGAAAUAUUGUAAAUUCCAUAUUGCAGCCGGCACUAGGCUGGAUUCCAGGCAUUGCAAAUACUGUAAAUGUUUUGGUCAACUGUGGAAUAUCGUCAGGCUGUACACAAGUGAGAGUCCAAGUACCAGCAGGAAAUACCGUGGCUGAUAUUGAUGUUUGCACCGUUAGCGGUGGUGGUUUUUGUGUGGAGGUAUAUGGAGGUUCAGGUUCACCGUGUUCAGGUGGAAUCCCAUUCCCCAUUCCCAUCCCCAUAGCUUCAACUGGAACAACUGCUCCAAUCACACUGACGCUUAACAUACUAGCCAAUUGUGCGAUGAUUAACGUGGGAAAUAUCCAAACGUGUUCAAACAACUAAAGAAGUAAAGAACAUGCGUAUACUGCUGUAGAAUAUAUAUAGCUGUAUUAAGUGACUGGGAAAUAUAGUGUAUAUACCGAAUACAACUAUAGCUGGAGUAUAGAAUCUGUUUUGUAGUAUAUUGAAUUCUUA
Long non-coding RNA from Halichondria panicea, 976 nucleotides. RefSeq lists it as uncharacterized. The record is from RefSeq and is a predicted model, not a curated record. NCBI's taxonomy places the organism in Eukaryota, Metazoa, Porifera, Demospongiae, Suberitida, Halichondriidae. The transcript has 4 exons.